GUAAUGAGUCGCUCCGCCGCGGCGCCCUUUCGGGGCGACGAGGAAAGUCCGGGCAACGCAGAGCACCCUGCUUCCUAACGGGAAGGAUGUGCCGCAAGGUGCAGACAGCCAGUGCCACAGAAAACUACCGCCUACGUUGCUUUCGGGCAGCCGGUAAGGGUGAAAAGGUGCGGUAAGAGCGCACCAGCGGGCAGGCAACUGUCCCGGCUGGGUAAACCUCAGGGGUUGAAAGACCAAAUAAGCGGAUACGUGGGCUUUCGGGCCCGCACCGGGCGGCUCGUUCGGCGUCCGUGGGUAGGUUGAUGGAGCCUUUCCGCGAGGACUGGCCUAGAUAAAUGGUGGAGACGCUGCUUCCGAGCAGUGUACAGAACCCGGCUUACAGACUCAUUACCAAA
This 395-nucleotide RNase P RNA is filed under the name Hymenobacter volaticus. RNAcentral describes it as "Hymenobacter sp. 5420S-77 RNase P RNA component class A". It matches the Rfam family "Bacterial RNase P class A". From Rfam's summary of the family: Ribonuclease P (RNase P) is a ubiquitous endoribonuclease, found in archaea, bacteria and eukarya as well as chloroplasts and mitochondria. Its best characterised activity is the generation of mature 5'-ends of tRNAs by cleaving the 5'-leader elements of precursor-tRNAs. Lineage: Bacteria; Pseudomonadati; Bacteroidota; Cytophagia; Cytophagales; Hymenobacteraceae. The record is from RNAcentral.